CUGGGUCCAGAGCCCCAUGAUCCUUGACAGUCUAACAAGCAGGAUUGACUCAAUUAUUUCAUGCCCAGGACCUUCAUCUAACAAAGAAAUGUACUAGAUGGGAAGGAGAGGAAAGAAAGAAGAGAUGGAAUAAGGGAGAGACAGAGUUAUUAAAGCAAAACCUUCUUAUAUCAGGAUAUUUUAUUACCCUGAAGAUACCCAUAGUAGUGCACCAAUAGAAUAUUGAUAGCUAUGUAUAUAUACACUCACACAUAUAUGAGUGUGUAAAUAUAUGUAGGUGUGUGUAGAUAUAUGAAUAUAUAGGUAAUGUAUUCUAAUGCAUAAAAUCUGUAAAGACUCCAUUGAACAUGCGUGUAAGUCAUGUUAAAACGGAAAUGCUAAAGGCCUUUGAAAAGCUACUUUCUACAUUUCAGGCCAAGUUGCCCAUCUCAGCCAGUAGAACAGGAAUAGGAGACGCCGGGCAACUGAAUUUAUCAGUGGCAUUCAGAGACCACUGGCGGAUCUGGGGAGUUCUGAUUUCUUGCCUGGGGAAGGUGGCCUGGCUGAGCAGGAGAUGGAGGGGAUUUCCCCAGCUGAACUGGAGCAGGUCUGGGUUGAUCCAGAGACAGGGCAUCAGGGUCUCCUGCGAUGCCCAGUUCAGGAGCAGCCACACUAAGCAACAGCUUCUCAUGUGAGAGGCAGAGCUCCAGGACUCUGCUGCGACGGCCGCGGCUUCUUGCCUCUGGAAAAUGACGGAACUUGAACUCGAUGACUUCCUAAGGUCCUUCCUGCCCAACAGUCAUACAAGCUGUGGCCUGGCAUCCCUGGAGGGAGGGAGGUACAGUGUGCCAGGUGCUAACAGCCACAACUUGAUUUCAUCCAAUCCUCAUUUCAUCAGGUAGCUAUUAAUAUCCCCAUUUCAUGGAUGAGAAAACUGAGGUUUAGAGAAG
This 929-nucleotide long non-coding RNA is filed under the name Rhinopithecus bieti (black snub-nosed monkey). Its description in RNAcentral is "lncRNA (ENSRBIG00000045122.1)". Lineage: Eukaryota; Metazoa; Chordata; Mammalia; Primates; Cercopithecidae. The record is from RNAcentral.